This 205-nucleotide long non-coding RNA is filed under the name Elaeis guineensis (African oil palm). Its description in RNAcentral is "long non-coding RNA (EGUI_LNC031035)". The record is from RNAcentral. Lineage: Eukaryota; Viridiplantae; Streptophyta; Magnoliopsida; Arecales; Arecaceae.
GCUCGGUUCUUCACUGAGUCGCGUGGAAACCUAGAAAAUCCAAGAAGAAGAGAGAGAGCCGUGUGACCGCUGAGAGAGAAGGAGCAGGAGGCUCCUGGACAGCGGACGUCGGUCGCUUCAGGGGUUCAGAGGAGUUUUCCAAGAGAGAGAGCCUUUGUGAGGGAGAAUUUCAGGAGAGAGAAAUUGAGUGUACAAAGGUUGGGGG